This 459-nucleotide ribosomal RNA is filed under the name uncultured Pirellula sp. RNAcentral describes it as "bacterial SSU rRNA". It matches the Rfam family "Bacterial small subunit ribosomal RNA", at positions 8 to 488 of the family's 1533-position model. Lineage: Bacteria; Pseudomonadati; Planctomycetota; Planctomycetia; Pirellulales; Pirellulaceae. The record is from RNAcentral.
AGAGUUUGAUCCUGGCUCAGAAUGAACGUUGGCGGCGUGGAUUAGGCAUGCAAGUCGAAUGCGAAAGUAGCAAUACUAGUAGCAUGGCGAAAGGGAUAGUAAUGCAUGAGCAAUCUACCCUCGACUCCGGGAUAUGCGGUUGAAAGACCGAGUAAUACUAGACGUCGUUUUCGGAGGACAUCCUUUGGAUACGAAAGGUCCGCCGGUCGAGGAGGAGCUCAUGUCCUAUCAGCUAGUUGGCGGGGUAACGGCCCACCAAGGCAAGGACGGGUAGCGGGUGUGAGAGCACGACCCGCAUCACUGGCACUGAGACACUGGCCAGACUCCUACGGGAGGCUGCAGUCGAGAAUCUUCGGCAAUGGACGAAAGUCUGACCGAGCGACGCCGCGUGGAGGAUGAAGGCCUUCGGGUUGUAAACUCCUGUUGGGAGGGAACAAAUUUUGAGUGACCUCCUAGAGA